Pangasianodon hypophthalmus (striped catfish) is the source of this 2696-nucleotide long non-coding RNA. RefSeq lists it as uncharacterized. The record is from RefSeq and is a predicted model, not a curated record. NCBI's taxonomy places the organism in Eukaryota, Metazoa, Chordata, Actinopteri, Siluriformes, Pangasiidae. The transcript is spliced from 3 exons.
GUCACCGUGUGGAGAUAAAACUCAACAUCCACGAGUCCCCCAGAUCUACUCCUUUGAUAAAAACACUAGUCGCUAAAUGCUAGGUUAAAUAAAUAAGUCUUCAACCUCGACUUAAACACUGAGACCGUGUCUGCUUCACGUACAUUAACUGGGAGGCUAUUCCAUAAUUUUGGGGCUUGGUAAGAGAAAGCUCUGCCCCCUGCCGUGGUUUUGGCAAUGCGUGGUACUGAUAGACAGCCUGCAUCCUUAGAGCGAAGUAGGCGCGGCGGAACGUAAGGUACUAACAUAUCGCUUAAAUACUGCGGAGCGAGACCGUUUAAUGCUUUAUAGGUUAGGAGUAAUAUUUUAAAAUCGAUGCGGAAUCUUACUGGGAGCCAGUGUAAUGUAGAUAAGACUGGCGUGAUAUGCUCAUACUUCCUAGUCCUAGUCAGGACCCUCGCUGCUGCGUUCUGAACUAUCUGAAGCUUAUUUAUGCAUCUAGACGAACAUCCAGAUAGUAAAGCAUUACAGUAAUCUAAUCUGGACGUGAUAAAUGCAUGGACUAGUUUUUCAGCAUCACUUAGCGAAAGUAUAUUUCUAAUCUUAGCAAUAUUUCUGAGGCAUGCUUCAGCUUGAGAAAUAAGCACAACUUGAGUGAGUGAAAGGGAAUUCAUUUCUAAUACUGGGUUAAUCUCAUCUUCAGAGGAUAUAUAUAUAUAUAUAUAUAUAAUGUGUGUGUGUGUGUGUGUGUGUGUAUGCACGGAACUAAACUGCACUGAACCAAGCCAUUGAAAAGCUGCUAAUUUUUAUUAUAUCUGUGGUUUGCUUUUUUCUUGUGCAGAGGCACAAUAAACACACCCCACUCAUCUCACCCUGCAUCUGCUGUGUCUCAUAUCAUACAUUUAAGAUAUCAUCUACUACAUUAUAUAUAUCUUUACACUAUGAAAUAAAGCAUUAUACACCAUAAUAGCAGACAGACAUAACGUAAAUAUAAAAACAUUUCGCGAUUUCCCCAUGGGACACACAGUAGACUAGUCUAUUUCCGGUUGCUUCGCGCCAAUUCUGGCAGUACAUAGCCAGGCCACCGGGUGGCGCCCAGGUUUGGCCGGCCUAUGGGGGAAACGCUGCACGAAGAACCCACUGCACAGACAAUACCAAGCACAAACCACCGCGUGAAUUAAUGUCAGGGGAUGAAACGGAGUGGAUAUGUUUGUGUGUAUGAAAGUCCAGUAUGCUAAUAGCGUGCGUGUGCACCCACAUCGCCUCAGCAGGGAUUUACGGAGGAAGAAUGAGAUGAUUGAGAAAAGCCAGCAGAUGUCCUGUAUUGUAUGGAACCCCACAAACGCUGAUGGCAGCACACAUUGUGACAUUGUCACCACGCUGGCCAGGGACUUCUACAAUGACCUGGUGGCCCAGAAGCUUCCGUCCUCUUGUCCUCCUCUUAGUAAGGUUUAUUCCUGCUUCAUCUAUGAAGAUAUAUUUGUGCAGGUUUUCCCUGGCAUCAAUUUUAAAUAUUCUCUACAGAAAAGCUUUGAUUACAGUUAAAGCACACUACAUGAUAAAUCCUGUAAAACCCAUUACUGCAAUGCUGUACAAUAGGCCAUCAUAUAGCCUGUAAUCCAGUACAUACUGCUGAAAUACAUCACCAUAUCCAUAUUGGACUUACUUGCACAUACUCCAAGUCCUCGGCUUUGAUCCUGAGUUCGUUUCAAAAGGAAUAUAAUAACCUUGUUUCAUUCUUACCCUGUUCCUCCGAAGUAUGCGGUCAAUAGUGCCAAUGCUUAUUUGAUUGAUUCCUUGAAAUAAACAUUGGUCUUCCAAUUAUUAUUGUUUGAAUUUCUCACAAAUUAAAUUGUUGGCUAUCACCAUAUUUACAACUGCAGUGUGCUGUUUGGCUAACAACAGCCUUGGUCUGCCUUCUCUUCAUUCUCGUCUCUCAGUCCUACAAAAACAGUAUAAGUAUUGUUUGGCAUUGAUAUUUGCUGUACAGUACAUACUAGGAAUACAGCUCACAAGGGACUGUGAACAGCACUGCAGUACACUGUUUUAAUUUCCGUUUUGAUUCUUAAUGUUUAUACCUGCAGAAAUUAUGUUAAUUGAAUUAAUUGUAUCGAGUGCUAGUGCUUUCUGAAUGCGCACAUUGUGUAACUAAUGAAAUAUUGAAGUCUUUUUUGUGCGUAGACUUUUGCGCAAAGGGUUCAACAAAUCUGAGGCAUGUGUCAAAACACCAGUUUUGUGUUUAGAGUUUCGGGAAAUGAGUCUUUCCUCUGGUAGGUGAACCAGUUUUAGUGUCUAAGUGAUUGAGAAAAAUACAGACAUUACGCUUGUGUCAGAAAGUCCUUGAGUGAGAUAACGGUGUGUGUGGGUGUGUUUGAAAUGCCUCAUGACAUACUAGCAUCCAAUCUAGGGUGUAUUCUUGCCUUAUCCUGACCAGGAUAAAGUGGUUACUUGUUAUGAUAUUCUCACUAAUAUUAUUGUUAUUAUGAGUCCCACUAGUAUUAUACAACCCCUGGCAAAAAUUAUGGAAUCACCACACUUAGAGGAUGUUCACCCAGCUUUUUUACUUUAUAGCAAACAAACAAAUCACAGAUAUGACACAAAAAAGGUUUUGUUCAAUAGCUUAACAUUCUGGUUUGUGAAAUAUACAUAAAAAAAAUUCAAGGACAAUUUUUUUUUAUUAAUGGCAUGUCUUUUUCCAAAUCAAGUAGAGGAAAAAA